This 550-nucleotide long non-coding RNA is filed under the name Lathyrus oleraceus (garden pea). RNAcentral's name for it is "Pisum sativum (pea) long non-coding RNA (PSAT_LNC026385)". The record is from RNAcentral. Lineage: Eukaryota; Viridiplantae; Streptophyta; Magnoliopsida; Fabales; Fabaceae.
GCUGAUAAAGUCCAAACACUCACUGGCAAUUUCUCCUUCAUUCUCCUUACCCUUCUCAUGGCCAUGUCCUUUGGCUCACCACCACCACCACUAACCUUAAACCUAAAUCUUUUCCUCCACCUGCAUCUGCCCUCCUCCUUUAAACACCACAAUCAUCAUCUCCCUCUACCUCUGGUCCUCUUCUUCGAAAUCACCUUUAAACACCCCGUUUAUGCUAUACUACCAGCCAACACUAUAAACCGUUAUUGAACACCGUAACUUCUGGCCUACCACCACCUAUUUUCCCUCUCCACCAUAUUGUAAAUCUUCUUUUACCUGCAAACUCCUCACAAUAACUUCAAAAAAAAUGCUACUAUCUCUUAUACACUCACUAAACUCUCCAUUAAACUACUCCCACCAACAAAUCGCAACAAGUCCGUGAAUCAACAACAACAACUUGCUUUUAACGUCCUUCUUCACCACAUGAAACACCUUACAACAACCGCCCACCGUCAACAACCUUUCUCUCCUCCGUUCAAACCCUUCCUAACUGCGAAUUUAUCUCAUCAUC